AAGAAAUUCAAGGGGAUGGCACCUGCCUUUUGGGGCGGGCGGAGAGUCAGCUGCUGCCUCUGGAGCAGAGCUCCAGAGCCAGCUGCCUCCUGCAGCGAUGCCAGGUCCCCUCACCUGAGAUUUUAGGGUGUUUAACAGUUUCCUUCCGGUAGGACAUUUGGGGACUGAUUAAAAUGGAUGCCCAGCUCUGUCUGGAUGGGGCUGGUAGUUUUGCUGGGGAGCAUGACCCACCUGGCUUCCAAGGAGGAAAUAACACUGCUUCUCAGUCACCAGUUUCUGACUUUUUGCAGCCACCCAGAACUGGCUGUUCCAAUUGAACCUCUCCAUCCUGACAUCACGCGGUUGGUCUUUUACAGGACUUACUCCACUUCACUAACUCUGUCACGUCCUCAGGUCUACGAAGGGCUUAAAGGAAACUCUCCUCUACAAGGUGGGGAAGUAGCGUCCAUGUGGAAACACUGCAUCCAUGCAAGUGCCUAGAGGUAAGCAGGGCCCAGGUGUGUCUCGGGCAGAUGGUCUCACUGAGAUAUUAAGAGAAGCACUGGGACACAUUGGAAGGAAUGUAGAGGAAAGAAGCAGACUGACAGAUUUGUGAUGUUUCUGGAUUCAGGAGAUGACCAACAAAGGGCCUAGCAAGUGACCAGCGAUACAACUGUUUAUCGAAACAAGGAGGCAGGACUGGUGGUCUAGAAUGAGCAGUGUGAUACACAUGUGAAAUUGGUAAAAAUAAAAAUAAAAAUAAAUCCAUUUGACAGGACUCUCUGCUGCCACCAAGCCUGAUAGUUUGUCUGGUGGCUUCAAAGGUUUUUGGGAGUGGUUGUAGAGGGACACAGCAGCACUGCUGGUGUCUGUAGCUUGGUGUCAUAGGUCGUCAGGUGCAGGGGUAAGGGUGAUGGAUAACCUAGAGAUCCUAACGAGCCUUUCUCGUAAGGAUCAUACCCUAAUGAGGAACACUGACACUCUCAGUCCUAUCUGUUAACUUUGAUCUUGGUCACUGUCAGCCAGUGGAGUCAGUAGGAAUUGUAGGAGUCAGAAGAAACAUUUUUGCCUAAGAGGUUCUUCUGUCUCUCAAGUGCCUGCUAUUUGGCUAAUUUAUCUGAAGGGAAGGUUAUUUGUUAACUGCCUCUUAAGAGUUCCCAAUAAAGCUGAAGGAGGGGUGACAACUCCUCUUCACAACCACCCCGGAGGGGAGGCAGGGCUGGCACUGCAGGCACCUACCCAGGCUGGUUAGCACUGGCGGCAGGUACUGAGCAUCUGCAGAGUAGCUGCAGAUAUGAUUUAGCAUCCUCGGUAUGCUGGUGCCCAUCUGGAGUGGCAGCAAGCUGGGAGGAGUAUCCUCGGACAGCCCAAAGCAGAAUGAGGUCCUUGUGUUUUGGCAACUGAAUACCACCCAUCUGUUUCUAAAGAGGGCUUUUGAAUUCAGAGCACUCUGAGGAAGGAAGAGAAUUGAAUAUGGAGCAGAAGGAGAGCAAGUGAGCCUCAAGUGCUGGGCAGUGAGAGCAACUUCAGGGAGGGUCAGCCCUGGUUUCUGGGGCUGGAGAACCUCUGUCUCAGGCAACAGGGACUUGAACCUGAAGCAUCUGUGCUGUGGUCUGUAGUCCCUGUCCCCAUCCAUCAAGCUUUAGUUUUCAUUCCAGAGGAGAAUGAAUAAUCCUUGGCGGUGGCUGUGAAGAGGAAUUGUCACCCUUCCUUCAGCUCUAUCAGAAACUCUUCAAGAGGCAGUUAACAAAUAACCUUCCCUUGGGAUAAAUUAGCUCUGAAUCCCAAUUCAAUAGAUGCUCAUUUUAAGAUGUCCUUGUUACCUUGUGUGAGUGGCUGAUCUUCCUUUGAAUCCUGCUGUGUUUUCAGACCCCGUGAUUGCUGCGAGCAAUCAUGAGUUCCACAUUAACAGCUCAUGCACUGAUUGCACUGAGCAGUCCCAACACAACCUUUUGUGAAAAGUUUUUGAAAGUUGAGCUCCACGCUAUGCUAUCAGAAAGCUACACAGAUCUCACUCCAGCACAUACUCUGGCAACUGACUUCAAAUGAGACCUGGUUUGCAGGGGCUGGUGUGCAGACAAGAACUGUGCUUCAGAGUCCAGCUUUUGAAAUAAUAUCUUUUAGGCAUUGUCAAGGAAACCUGGUGAUGACGCACAGUUGGCCAACUGCGCCUCUAGGCAGCCUGGAGCAAAGGCUCUGAGACGUUCAAAUAGUAACCCUAAUGGAUUUUUUUUUUCUCCUGGCCAACACUGUUCCAGAGUAGGAGAGUGUCAUUGGAUAGCUACAAAGAAGAAAGAACUGCAUCAGAAAUAAAACCCUCCUGCCAUGUCAUCUUGCCCAGACCUUCCAGUGAGACAGCCUUUCAACUCAGAGUAGGACUACGUCUUGUGUACCGAAAGUAUUGCCACUGUUUGGAAAAGCAAGCCAUCCUUAUUAAUAAGCCUCUCCAAGAACAAUGAAAUGUAACAUGCAAUCUUGCACAGAUGCUCUAAUAUAUAGCUUUGACUUUUGAGACAGUUGAUAGAUUUUUUUUUCUCUCACACCAAUGGCAGCUGUAGUGUAAGGUAUUGUGUCGAUUAAAAAUCUAUUUAAUCAAAUGCUGUCAGGGGAAGAGUACAAAACAUUUGAAGAAUGACUCCUAAAAGCUGUCCCUUGACUGGGAGUGAAGUUAUCCAGAGAUUGGCCAGCAGGCUGGAGUGAAAUACUCUCUGCUCACCUUUACGUCUAAAGCUACCAACAAGCUACAGUGAUGAGUAUUGAGAGAAACCUUUGUCCAGUAGAACAGUGUAGGCUGUGGUCAUUUCUUUUCUGAGAGAUUUUCCCCCAAGAAACCUUUGUUAUAGAUAAAACCCAUUACGCAAAUUAUCAAUCCCUACUUACACUUCAAAUUCCUAUAUCCCAAAUCCAUGGGAUAGAUUAGAUAAUCUUAAUGUGGAAUGUAAAAGUAGGUUGGAAAUCAUUGCUGUGCAAAUUGUGUAGAGGGUUUUUUCCUGUUCCGUGCUUGAAACGGACUUCAAAAGAAUAAAUAAAAUCCAUUCUGGUAGCCCCCAGUGAGGAGUAUACUUCUUUGCAGAAAGGGAAAAAAACCAACAACCUCCCAAUAUUUUAUUCAGCUCAGAGUGAAAUGUUUUGAUAUGGGGGAAUUUAGCUAAUUUUCUUACUUCUCAAAAUAGGUCAACUUUGAAAUAGAAAAUGUCACAUUGAAAAAAAAA
Oxyura jamaicensis (ruddy duck) is the source of this 3191-nucleotide long non-coding RNA. RefSeq lists it as uncharacterized. Lineage: Eukaryota; Metazoa; Chordata; Aves; Anseriformes; Anatidae. The transcript has 2 exons. The record is from RefSeq and is a predicted model, not a curated record.